Small nucleolar RNA from Arabidopsis lyrata subsp. lyrata, 68 nucleotides. It matches the Rfam family "Small nucleolar RNA snoR101". NCBI's taxonomy places the organism in Eukaryota, Viridiplantae, Streptophyta, Magnoliopsida, Brassicales, Brassicaceae. The record is from Rfam.
GGGAUACACUUGAUCUCUGAACUUCACAGGUAAGUUUGCUUGUUGAUAACUACUGGUCUGCUGAUGCU